This 656-nucleotide ribosomal RNA is filed under the name uncultured Carnobacteriaceae bacterium. RNAcentral describes it as "bacterial SSU rRNA". It matches the Rfam family "Bacterial small subunit ribosomal RNA", at positions 67 to 700 of the family's 1533-position model. Lineage: Bacteria; Bacillati; Bacillota; Bacilli; Lactobacillales; Carnobacteriaceae. The record is from RNAcentral.
CUUUUCUAUGGAAGCUUGCUUCCACUGAGAAGAUAGUGGCGGACGGGUGAGUAACACGUGGGUAACCUGCCCAUAAGAGGGGGAUAACAUCCGGAAACGGGUGCUAAUACCGCAUAGUUUUCUUGAUCGCAUGAUUGAGAAAGGAAAGACGGCCUUUGUGCUGUCGCUUAUGGAUGGACCCGCGGCGUAUUAGUUAGUUGGUGAGGUAACGGCUCACCAAGACGAUGAUACGUAGCCGACCUGAGAGGGUGAUCGGCCACAUUGGGACUGAGACACGGCCCAAACUCCUACGGGAGGCAGCAGUAGGGAAUCUUCCGCAAUGGACGAAAGUCUGACGGAGCAACGCCGCGUGAGUGAAGAAGGUUUUCGGAUCGUAAAACUCUGUUGUCAGAGAAGAACAAGUCGGAGAGUAACUGCUCCGGCCUUGACGGUAUCUGACCAGAAAGCCACGGCUAACUACGUGCCAGCAGCCGCGGUAAUACGUAGGUGGCAAGCGUUGUCCGGAUUUAUUGGGCGUAAAGCGAGCGCAGGCGGUUCCUUAAGUCUGAUGUGAAAGCCCACGGCUCAACCGUGGAAGGUCAUUGGAAACUGGGGAACUUGAGUGCAGAAGAGGAGAGUGGAAUUCCAUGUGUAGCGGUGAAAUGCGUAGAUAUAUG